This 527-nucleotide ribosomal RNA is filed under the name uncultured bacterium. RNAcentral's name for it is "bacterial SSU rRNA". It matches the Rfam family "Bacterial small subunit ribosomal RNA", at positions 28 to 590 of the family's 1533-position model. The record is from RNAcentral.
AGCGAACGUUAGCGGCGGGCUUAACACAUGCAAGUCGAGCGAGAAAGGGGCUUCGGCCCUGAGUAGAGCGGCGGACGGGUGCGUAACACGUGGGAACCUUCCCUAUAGUAUGGAAUAGCCCAGGGAAACUUGGAGUAAUACCGUAUACGCCCGAGAGGGGAAAGAUUUAUCGCUAUAGGAUGGGCCCGCGUAGGAUUAGCUAGUUGGUGAGGUAAUGGCUCACCAAGGCGACGAUCCUUAGCUGGUCUGAGAGGACGACCAGCCACACUGGGACUGAGACACGGCCCAGACUCCUACGGGAGGCAGCAGUGGGGAAUAUUGGACAAUGGGCGCAAGCCUGAUCCAGCCAUGCCGCGUGAGUGAUGAAGGCCUUAGGGUUGUAAAGCUCUUUUGCCGGGGACGAUAAUGACGGUACCCGGAGAAUAAGUCCCGGCUAACUUCGUGCCAGCAGCCGCGGUAAUACGAAGGGGACUAGCGUUGUUCGGAAUCACUGGGCGUAAAGCGCACGUAGGCGGAUCAUUUAGUCA